GACGAACGCUGGCGGCGUGCCUAACACAUGCAAGUCGAACGAACAGACGCCGAGCUUGUUGCUCUGACUUUAGCGGUGGACGAGUGAGUAACACGUCGAUAACCUCCUUAUCAGACUUUGAUGACAACCGGAAACCAGAGCUGAUAACGCAUGAUAUUUUGAACCUCAUGGUUCAAGAGUGAAAGACGGAUUUUCUGUCGCUUAUAGAUGGAUCCGCGCCGCAUUAGCUAGUUGGUAAGGUAACGGCUUACCAAGGCAGCGAUGCGUAGCCGACCUGAGAGGGUGGUGGGCGGCACUGUAACGGAGACACGGCGGCGACUCCUACGGGGGGCGGCAGUAGGGAGUCUUCCGCAAUGGGGGGAAGCCUGACGGAGCAGCGCCGCGUGAGUGAUGAAGGUCUUCGGAUCGUAAAACUCUGUUAUUAGGGAAGAACAAGUGUGUAAGUAACUAUGCACGUCUUGACGGUACCUAAUCAGAAAGCCACGGCUAACUACGUG
This 497-nucleotide ribosomal RNA is filed under the name uncultured bacterium. RNAcentral describes it as "partial 16S ribosomal RNA". It matches the Rfam family "Bacterial small subunit ribosomal RNA", at positions 28 to 507 of the family's 1533-position model. The record is from RNAcentral.